CCUACGGGAGUCUGCAGUGGGGGAUAUUGCACAAUGGGGGGAACCCUGAUGCAGCGACGCCGCGUGGGUGAAGGAGUGCUUCGGCAUGUAAAGCCCUAUCGGCAGGGAAGAAGCAAGACGGUACCUGACUAAGAAGCCCCGGCUAACUACGUGCCAGCAGCCGCGGUAAUACGUAGGGGGCGAGCGUUAUCCGGAUUCACUGGGUGUAAAGGGAGCGUAGACGGCCAUGCAAGCCAGGGGGGAAAGCCCGGGGCCCAACCCCGGGACUGCCCUUGGAACUGUGCGGCUAGAGUGCGGGAGGGGCAGGCGGAAUUCCUGGGGUAGCGGUGAAAUGCGUAGAUAUCAGGAGGAACACCGGCGGCGAAGGCGGCCUGCUGGACCGCGACUGACGUUGAGGCUCGAAAGCGUGGGGAGCGAACAGGAUUAGAUACCCGUGUAGUC
This 441-nucleotide ribosomal RNA is filed under the name uncultured bacterium. Its description in RNAcentral is "partial 16S ribosomal RNA". It matches the Rfam family "Bacterial small subunit ribosomal RNA", at positions 338 to 795 of the family's 1533-position model. The record is from RNAcentral.